Molecule: ribosomal RNA, 416 nt
Filed under: uncultured bacterium
Lineage: Bacteria
Description: bacterial SSU rRNA
Rfam family: Bacterial small subunit ribosomal RNA
Source: RNAcentral
UGCCAGCAGCCGCGGUAAUACGGAGGGGGCGAGCGUUGUUCGGAAUCAUUGGGCGUAAAGGGCGCGUAGGCGGCCGAUCAAGUCGGAGGUGAAAUCCCUCGGCUCAACUGAGGAAUUGCCUUCGAUACUGUUCGGCUUGAGUCCUGGAGAGGGUAGCGGAAUUCCCGGUGUAGCGGUGAAAUGCGUAGAGACCGGGAAGAACACCAGUGGCAAAGGCGGCUACCUGGACAGGUACUGACGCUGAAGCGCGAAAGCUAGGGGAGCAAACAGGAUUAGAUACCCUGGUAGUCCUAGCUGUAAACGAUGGGCACUUGGUGUUGCGGGUAUCGACCCCUGCAGUGCCGAAGCUAACGCAUUAAGUGCCCCGCCUGGGGAGUACGGUCGCAAGGCUGAAANUCAAAGGAAUUGACGGGGGC